Sapajus apella (tufted capuchin) is the source of this 159-nucleotide long non-coding RNA. RefSeq lists it as uncharacterized. The transcript is spliced from 3 exons. The record is from RefSeq and is a predicted model, not a curated record. NCBI's taxonomy places the organism in Eukaryota, Metazoa, Chordata, Mammalia, Primates, Cebidae.
CUUCAAUAAAACCCAUGAAAGGACCCCUUAUUCAAUAAAAUGGUGCUGGGGUAACUGGCCAACCAUAUGCAGAAAAAUGAAACUGGACCCUUAUCUUUUACCAUAUACAAAAAUUAACUCAAGAUGAAUUAAAGACUUAAAUGUAAAAUGUCAAACUAU